AGUGUGGCCUGCUGACAUCUCUUCUUGUUUCCUUAUUUUCACCUUAGAUUCUUCUGGUCAGAGGCAAUGUCCAUUUCCAAGCCAACCUGGGAACUUCCCACAAUGCUAAGCUAACAGGAGCCACUGUCAAGUGCUCUGUGUUCUUACUUUCUAUCUUUGAGAGGGGAGGACACAAAUAGUGUGGGCUCAUGGUUUAGUCAAGUGGCACAUUAAUUUCCUGUUGCUGCUGUAACAAAUUGCCACAAAGUUAGUGACUCAGAACGGCACAAAUCUACAGCCCUGCACUUCCAGAGCUAAAAUGUCUGAUACCAGUUCCACUGAGAUCGUAGCUCAGUGUCCGGGGAGGAUCCGUUUUCAUCUCAAGGCUGGCAACAUUCCCUCAACCCCUCGUUUUCACGCUUAUGUCUCCUCCUACUGUCUCUGCUCCUCCAGUCUCUCUGGGAAGAAACCUUAUGAUUACAUCGAGCUCACCUGCACAUUCCAGGUUGUCUCCACUACGAGACCCACAAUUCAAUCACAUCUGCAGAGGGUGAUUUUCGCCGUGUAAGACAGCGUUCACACCACAGAUAGCAACAGACAGUUCUGGCUUGCCCCAUUAGUGGGUGUUCAAUGUAAGGUUACAUGAAGAAGGGAGAGUAUGAAAUCAAGAAAACCAACAGACAUCUGGAACACAGAGAAAGCCUCCUUCUUUGGAUCCUCUCUGACCUCUCCGAUAACACUGGCUAUGAGGAGGAAGGCCUGUGGCAGCUGAAGACUGGACCUCUCCAGUAGGCCUUCCUUGCUCCAGGCACAAUCACGCCAAACCCCACACGCAAGGUAAAAUAAACUCCAGUGAACUUUUGGUGACCUGAUAGCUAGUCUCACUCAUGGGGGUGGGGGGGGCACCUUGUCAGCCAGUCAGCAAGAACCUAGGGAUCAAAAUAAUAAAAAGGAAUAAAGAUAAAAUUAUGAAGAAGUCAGUGGCUGAUGGGGUUGACUGUGUGUGCUGAUUGGUGCAAAUGCAUCCUCUGCAUAUGUGCCACACCCACCACUUUGUGCUAUAUAACCAGGCUGGUCAGCUCCCUUUUUGUGAGUUAGCCAGGAGACAUUCUCCCUAAUAG
Molecule: long non-coding RNA, 1100 nt
Organism: Mastomys coucha (southern multimammate mouse)
Lineage: Eukaryota; Metazoa; Chordata; Mammalia; Rodentia; Muridae
Exons: 2
Source: RefSeq, a predicted model, not a curated record